Molecule: microRNA precursor, 196 nt
Filed under: Capsicum annuum
Lineage: Eukaryota; Viridiplantae; Streptophyta; Magnoliopsida; Solanales; Solanaceae
Also listed under: 1 other name
Description: MIR159 microRNA precursor family
Rfam family: MIR159 microRNA precursor family
Source: Rfam by way of RNAcentral
GUUAUGGGAGUGGAGCUCCUUGAAGUCCAAACGAAGAUCUAACAGGUUAGAUUGAGCUGCUUACCUAUGGAUUCCUCAGCCCUAUCUAUUUACCAUGUUUUAUAUAGAUAGGGUUGUGGGUUUGCAUAUGUCAGGAGCUUCAUUUGUUCUUGUUGGAUCACUUUUUGGAUUGAAGGGAGCUCUACAUUCACCUCCC